This 2516-nucleotide long non-coding RNA is filed under the name Coffea arabica (coffee). Its description in RNAcentral is "long non-coding RNA (CARA_LNC003697)". Lineage: Eukaryota; Viridiplantae; Streptophyta; Magnoliopsida; Gentianales; Rubiaceae. The record is from RNAcentral.
CUGGUUCCUGGUUUUCGGUGGCUUGCCGAUGAUGGAAGCAAGGAAGCAGCUCUUCUCUGGCUUGUUCAGGGAAGAAGAGUAAGUUUUCAAAUUUGCAACAUAGUUGCCUAGUUUUCCUUUUCAGCCGAUAUUAGUCUAUUUUAAGUGCUGAGUUUUCUGAGUAAACGAAAAAAAAAAAGAUUUUAAGUGCUGGUAUGUGAUUGCGCAUGCCAUGAUUCCAUUAGAAAUUGGAAGGAAUCAGUCAAUUGCCUACUUUUGCACAAAAUUGGAUAGAUUGGGACUACAUUUGCCUUACAAAAUAAAUUGGGGACUAGUUUGGCACAUGAGUAAUAGAUUGAGGAUCAAAAUUACAAUUCCUCCUAAUUUAUGGGCAUCGCCAAUUUCAACCCCCCAAGCCAGUUCUUUGCAAUGGAUUCUCUGUACCACACCCUGUCUCACAUCCUAUCCCAUUCAUUCUAAACUUGCCAAGUGUCCUUUUAUAAACCAAAUCCUAGAACAACCCAACUCGGACCAUGUUUAAUUAAUUAACUGAUUAAUCGGGCAGAGAAACUUAAUCUCUAUAACCAAAAUCAAUUAAAAUAAAAACCAAAAAAAUAAAAUUAGAGAUUAAACAAGGGAAAAAAAAACCACGAAACCAUGAAAUUAGAAUCCCAUCAGAAUAUAAUUUCUUCUCAAAAGCUUCCGUCAGAUAUCACUACUUAUCCUUUCACCAGAUAUCACUCACAAUUCAAAUGCCUGGUGGCAUGAUUUCGGCCGAUGAUCAUAAGCUAUGUCCUCCGUCACGAAGUCGAAGGAAACUGUCCAUGGAAUCGUGCACCGUGUGAAAGGUGGAUCAUCGCCAUUCUUAAUCGAGACUCAGGUUAAGCUCCAUCUCGGAACCUUGUGGGGUUAGGAGUAAAGCAUCCCAAGGUUGGCGCAUCUCUAAUAGCGUGGAGAAGCAUUGGGAACCCCAAUUUCUUUCUUCGGAGCCCUUUCUUCAGAUUAUGUGCUCUCAAUGGGCAAUUGGACGAAGCUCACCACCUGUUCGAUCAAAUGCCUAGGUGUCAUGAAUCAUUUUUUCCAUGGAAUUCACUGAUAGCCUCAACAUCCUAGGAUGGGCUUCCUCCAAUAUUCUAGAGAAUUCUUUCACAAUACUGCGAUGGGCUUCCUCAAAUCUUUUGGGCAAUGUAGUUUUUUUCUUGCCUUUGUUUUCCUGCUAUUUUCUUUGCCCAUUAUUCUGUCAUUCGUAUUUAUUGUGUCUCCUUGCUGAAAUUUGUUCUCAAAUUAUGGCUGUCAUAUAUACUCAUACUUCACUUGGCUAGUGCUUUGGAAUUUUUUUUGGGUACUCUCUUCAUUUUAGUACACACUGCCUUAUAGAUUACAGCUUUUGUGCAUGGCAAGAAACUACUGCAGUUAAAGGCAGUCGGGGGUAACAUAUUUAUCCCUAUUUUUUUGUGGUUUAUUGGCGGCAGAAGUAACUUAUCAUUGAACAGGGGCAUUGGAGUGGUUCUGUUUCUUAUCCUGCUUGGUUUACUAGUGUUUAAGAUUGGGAAUUUGUGUAAACCAGUGUCCUUGUUUCAUGUGAAUUUCCAUAUUAAUUGAGCAUUGAGAUUCAUUUGAUGUUUGUAUAAAUCUAUCAUAUGUUGUUUAAGCAUCACCGUGAAAUAAGAGUGAUUUUUUGCACUUAUGCAUAUCCAUGCAUGCAUAUAAAAAACAUGAGAACGAAGGGGUGAAAGGAUAAACCGUAUAAUAACAGAAGAAAAUUUAGAAGAUGAUUGAAUUAUUUUGAGAUCAAAGGACAAUAGCUCAAUGAUGUCUCUGUUUUGCUUUUACCGUAAAACUAGUCCAUUGCAGGGGAAUCAACUUGUAGAUCAUGCUGCAGAUGUUAUUGUAACCAUUAUACUGAUGAUGUUCUUUUUAAGUAUAUUUUAUACUCGAGAAGAGUUUUGGUUUUUUUUGGAGGGGGGAGAUAUUAUGUAUCAUGAUAUAUUUUUUUAUGUACUUGUUACGAUUGGUUUGAUUUACAAUGUCAUGCUUUUACAUUGGCAGGGCGGUGAGGGCUCUGAUGAUGAUGAGGAAAAGAAACAUCCCUGCAAGCAUCACCACCACCACCACCACCGCAAAGACUAUGAUGAUGAGUGAGCAAACUGGCAAGUGGAGGUCUGUUAGGGGUUCAUGUUAUUUCAAUCCACUACUAUUACUGAAUAAGGGGUUGGCAUGCUUCCCUUCAGUGUUCGCGUGUUUUAAGCAUAUAUUCUUGCAGUAUCUUUGAGAGGAAAUAAAUAGACUAGAGCUAUGCAGACUCAAGUUAAUUGUGUGUGAGAUCGUCAGCCUUUUGCUUUGAUUGUAAGAUGAUAAGUGAAAUCCCAAAUACCUGGGAAGGUGUUGUGGAUAUUCCCCUUGUCUGAUUAAGUGCAGCUAAGAUGUUUUUUCAUGUCAAAGUUGAAAAUUAUUGGCUUUGGUCUCCAUGGCUUGCUUUUGUGGCUUUAAAGUUUCGCGUUAUGGUUUGAUUCUGGAAUUCUUCCAUCUCGGGAAUU